Molecule: ribosomal RNA, 561 nt
Filed under: Escherichia coli
Lineage: Bacteria; Pseudomonadati; Pseudomonadota; Gammaproteobacteria; Enterobacterales; Enterobacteriaceae
Description: partial 23S ribosomal RNA
Rfam family: Bacterial large subunit ribosomal RNA
Source: RNAcentral
GGGACACGUGGUAUCCUGUCUGAAUAUGGGGGGACCAUCCUCCAAGGCUAAAUACUCCUGACUGACCGAUAGUGAACCAGUACCGUGAGGGAAAGGCGAAAAGAACCCCGGCGAGGGGAGUGAAAAAGAACCUGAAACCGUGUACGUACAAGCAGUGGGAGCACGCUUAGGCGUGUGACUGCGUACCUUUUGUAUAAUGGGUCAGCGACUUAUAUUCUGUAGCAAGGUUAACCGAAUAGGGGAGCCGAAGGGAAACCGAGUCUUAACUGGGCGUUAAGUUGCAGGGUAUAGACCCGAAACCCGGUGAUCUAGCCAUGGGCAGGUUGAAGGUUGGGUAACACUAACUGGAGGACCGAACCGACUAAUGUUGAAAAAUUAGCGGAUGACUUGUGGCUGGGGGUGAAAGGCCAAUCAAACCGGGAGAUAGCUGGUUCUCCCCGAAAGCUAUUUAGGUAGCGCCUCGUGAAUUCAUCUCCGGGGGUAGAGCACUGUUUCGGCAAGGGGGUCAUCCCGACUUACCAACCCGAUGCAAACUGCGAAUACCGGAGAAUGUUAUCACGG